Molecule: ribosomal RNA, 439 nt
Filed under: uncultured bacterium
Lineage: Bacteria
Description: partial 16S ribosomal RNA
Rfam family: Bacterial small subunit ribosomal RNA
Source: RNAcentral
CGGGAGGCUGCAGCAGUGGGGAAUCUUGGACAAUGGGCGCAAGCCUGAUCCAGCCAUGCCGCGUGAGUGAAGAAGGCCUUAGGGUCGUAAAGCUCUUUCGCCAGAGAUGAUAAUGACAGUAUCUGGUAAAGAAACCCCGGCUAACUCCGUGCCAGCAGCCGCGGUAAUACGGAGGGGGUUAGCGUUGUUCGGAAUUACUGGGCGUAAAGCGCGCGUAGGCGGAUUAGUCAGUCAGGGGUGAAAUCCCAGGGCUCAACCCUGGAACUGCCUUUGAUACUGCUAGUCUUGAGUUCGAGAGAGGUGAGUGGAAUUCCGAGUGUAGAGGUGAAAUUCGUAGAUAUUCGGAGGAACACCAGUGGCGAAGGCGGCUCACUGGCUCGAUACUGACGCUGAGGUGCGAAAGUGUGGGGAGCAAACAGGAUUAGAUACCCGAGUAGUC